AGACAGACAGGUAGAUACAGACAGACAGACAGACAGGUAGAUACAGACAGACAGGUAGAUACAGACAGACAGACAGACAGACAGACAGGUAGAUACAGAC
This is a long non-coding RNA of Scomber japonicus (chub mackerel), 100 nucleotides long. RefSeq lists it as uncharacterized. NCBI's taxonomy places the organism in Eukaryota, Metazoa, Chordata, Actinopteri, Scombriformes, Scombridae. The record is from RefSeq and is a predicted model, not a curated record. The transcript is spliced from 3 exons.